AUUUAAGUAGCUUAAAUUAAAGCAUGAUAUUGAAGAUAUCAGGAUAAACUUAGUUUCUUAAAUA
RNAcentral lists this transfer RNA (64 nucleotides) under Cnizocoris sinensis. Its description in RNAcentral is "tRNA-Phe". The record is from RNAcentral. Lineage: Eukaryota; Metazoa; Arthropoda; Insecta; Hemiptera; Phymatidae.